UACGGGGGGGGCGAGCGUUGUUCGGAAUUACUGGGCGUAAAGGGCUUGUAGGUGGCCAACUAAGUCAGACGUGAAAUCCCUCGGCUUAACCGGGGAACUGCGUCUGAUACUGGAUGGCUUGAGUGUGGGAGAGGGAUGCGGAAUUCCAGGUGUAGCGGUGAAAUGCGUAGAUAUCUGGAGGAACACCGGUGGCGAAGGCGGCAUCCUGGACCAUUACUGACACUGAAAAGCGAAAGCCAGGGGAGCAAACGGG
This 253-nucleotide ribosomal RNA is filed under the name uncultured bacterium. RNAcentral describes it as "partial 16S ribosomal RNA". It matches the Rfam family "Bacterial small subunit ribosomal RNA", at positions 524 to 776 of the family's 1533-position model. The record is from RNAcentral.